UAGCGGGCGGGCUACCUUACACAUGCAAGUCGAACGGCAGCACGGGAGCAAUCCUGGUGGCGAGCGGCGAACGGGUGAGUAAUACAUCGGAACGUGCCCAGUUGUGGGGGAUAGCCCGGCGAAAGCCGGAUUAAUACCGCAUACGACCUACGGGUGAAAGCGGGGGAUCGCAAGACCUCGCGCAAUUGGAGCGGCCGAUGGCAGAUUAGCUUGUUGGUGGGGUAAAAGCCCACCAAGGCGACGAUCUGUAGCUGGUCUGAGAGGACGACCAGCCACACUGGGACUGAGACACGGCCCAGACUCCUACGGGAGGCAGCAGUGGGGAAUAUUGGACAAUGGGGGCAACCCUGAUCCAGCCAUGCCGCGUGAGUGAUGAAGGCCUUCGGGUUGUAAAGCUCUUUUGGCGGGGACGAUGAUGACGGUACCCGCAGAAUAUGCCCCGGCUAACUUCGUGCCAGCAGCCGCGGUAAGACGAAGGGGGCUAGCGUUGUUCGGAAUUACUGGGCGUAAAGCGAGUGUAGGUGGUUGUCGUAGUCAGGCGUGAAAGCCCCAGGCUUAACCUGGGAACUGCGUCCGAUACUGGGAGGCUUGGAUUCGGGAGAGGGAUGUGGAAUUCGAGGUGUAGCGGUGAAAUGCGUAGAUAUCUGGAGGAACAUCAGUGGGGAAAGCGACUUCCUGGACC
Molecule: ribosomal RNA, 682 nt
Filed under: uncultured bacterium
Lineage: Bacteria
Description: bacterial SSU rRNA
Rfam family: Bacterial small subunit ribosomal RNA
Source: RNAcentral